CUAAAACAAGUCUAGUUCAGCCUUCCAGAGGCUGGAAAGGAUGAAUGCACAUCUCACCCAACAGUUUUAGGCAGGCAGAAGAUAAAUUCCAGGCUCCGUUUGCUCCCGAAGGGUGAUGCUUGGAAGUAGCAGAUACGACUGAAAGUAAAAACUUCCACAAAAUGAUUGGUGAGAUGGCUCAGCAGGUAAGGGGACCACGCCUGACAACCUGAACCUGGAACCCACAUUGUGGAGGGAGAGAACACACUCUUGAAAAUUGUCUUCUGACUUCUCUCCAUGUGCACUAUGGCAUGUGUACCCCCAA
Non-coding RNA from Cricetulus griseus (Chinese hamster), 304 nucleotides. The record is from RefSeq and is a predicted model, not a curated record. Lineage: Eukaryota; Metazoa; Chordata; Mammalia; Rodentia; Cricetidae.